UCCGGGUAGGGCAUCGAAACCUCGAAACCAACGCUCCUUCAUCAUGUUCAAGACCUUCGUCUUCGUUGCCCUCGUGGCCCUCAUCGCCGUCGCCAAUGCUCAGGUCCUCUACGGAGCGUGGGGCGGAGCUCCCACCUGGGGUGGAGUUGCUUCCGUUCCCGUAGCCACCGCUGGAUGGAACGGUGUUGGUGGACUCUACGGUGCCAACUACGCCUGGUCGGGAGUCCCCUACGGUUCGGUUGUCUACAAGAAGUGAACCCCUCCACCGUUGGGCAAACGAUAGCGCCCGUUAUUGAUCCUUGCUACUGACCAUCGUCCGGGAAUCACGCAUUAAAAACUGAUGUGAAUAAAACUGUGCAUUAACUCACU
Long non-coding RNA from Galendromus occidentalis (western predatory mite), 369 nucleotides. RefSeq lists it as uncharacterized. Lineage: Eukaryota; Metazoa; Arthropoda; Arachnida; Mesostigmata; Phytoseiidae. The record is from RefSeq and is a predicted model, not a curated record. The transcript has 2 exons.